RNAcentral lists this long non-coding RNA (323 nucleotides) under Homo sapiens (human). RNAcentral describes it as "HSALNT0319560". Lineage: Eukaryota; Metazoa; Chordata; Mammalia; Primates; Hominidae. The record is from RNAcentral.
CUUCUUUAUACUUGCUAUUUUGUCUGUUAGCUCCUGCAAUGUUUUACAAUGAUUUUUAGCUCACUUGUAUUGCAUGACAACAUACUUCUUUCACUCAGUGAACUUUGUUCCUACGCAUAUCCUGAACCCUGCUUGUAUCAUUCCAGACAUCUCAGCCUCAGCCCAGUUCUGAACACUUGCUGGAGAGUUGAUGCAGUCAUUUGGAGGAAAGAAGGCAUGCUGACUUUUUGAGUUUUCAGUGUUCUCACACAGAUUCUUUCUCAUCUUUAUGGGCUUAUCCACCUUCCAUCUUUGAGGUUGCUGACCUUCGGACAGGGUAUUUU